Molecule: long non-coding RNA, 238 nt
Organism: Herpailurus yagouaroundi (jaguarundi)
Lineage: Eukaryota; Metazoa; Chordata; Mammalia; Carnivora; Felidae
Exons: 3
Source: RefSeq, a predicted model, not a curated record
GAAUAACACAACAAUCUGCACAACCUGAACCACGGAACUCAGCAGCACCAAGGCCUUUGAGACUGCUGCGAAGCACCCUUUCUGAGAAGGCCAAGCCUCCUUAAAAUGUCAUCAUUCCUCACAAUAACCUUCAAGGUCCACUGCCAUGCUUCAGAGACAGCAAAGUACCCCCUGGAAAGAUCCAUGUGGAGAAGAACUGAGGUCUUCUGUCAACAACCGGUACCAACUUUCUACUCAU